UAACACAUGCAAGUCGAACGGGAAUUUUUAACGUAGCAAUACGUUGAAAGUUCUAGUGGCAGACGGGUGAGUAAUACAUAAGGAAUCCACCUGGAGGUGGGGAAUAACUAGUUGAAAGAUUAGCUAAUACCCCAUAAUAUAAAGAAGCGGCAUCGCUUCUUUCUUAAAGGUUUUUCGCCUCCAGACGAUCUUAUGUUCUAUCAGCUAGUUGGUAGGGUAAUGGCCUACCAAGGCGACGACGGAUAGCCGGCCUGAAAGGGCGACCGGCCAUCAGGGGCAUUGAGACACGGGCCCCACUCCCUACGGGAGGCAGCAGUGGGGAAUUUUGGACAAUGGACGCAAGUCUGAUCCAGCAACGCAGCGUGAAGGACGAAGGUUUUCGGAUUGUAAACUUCUUUUGCAGGGGAAGAAAAAAAUGACGGUACCCUGUGAAUAAGCCACGGCUAACUACGUGCCAGCAGCCGCGGUAAGACGUAGGUGGCAAGCGUUACUCGGAAUUACUAGGCGUAAAGCAUUCGUAGGCGGAAGUUUAAGUCUGCUGUGCAAUCUCU
This 551-nucleotide ribosomal RNA is filed under the name uncultured Termite group 1 bacterium. Its description in RNAcentral is "bacterial SSU rRNA". It matches the Rfam family "Bacterial small subunit ribosomal RNA", at positions 49 to 604 of the family's 1533-position model. The record is from RNAcentral. Lineage: Bacteria; Pseudomonadati; Elusimicrobiota.